AGCGAACGCUGGCGGCAGGCCUAACACAUGCAAGUCGAACGAACCUUUCGGGGUUAGUGGCGGACGGGUGAGUAACACGUGGGAACGUGCCUUUAGGUUCGGAAUAACUCAGGGAAACUUGUGCUAAUACCGAAUGUGCCCUUCGGGGGAAAGAUUUAUCGCCUUUAGAGCGGCCCGCGUCUGAUUAGCUAGUUGGUUGAGGUAAUGGCUCACCAAGGCGACGAUCAGUAGCUGGUCUGAGAGGAUGAUCAGCCACAUUGGGACUGAGACACGGCCCAAACUCCUACGGGAGGCAGCAGUGGGGAAUCUUGGGCAAUGGGCGAAAGCCUGACGCAGCCAUGCCGCGUGAAUGAUGAAGGUCUUAGGAUUGUAAAAUUCUUUCACCGGGGACGAUAAUGACGGUACCCGGAGAAGAAGCCCCGGCUAACUUCGUG
RNAcentral lists this ribosomal RNA (434 nucleotides) under uncultured bacterium. RNAcentral's name for it is "partial 16S ribosomal RNA". It matches the Rfam family "Bacterial small subunit ribosomal RNA", at positions 29 to 507 of the family's 1533-position model. The record is from RNAcentral.